AGCAAAACACCCUUUUCAAAUAGCAAAACACCCUUUUCAAAUAGCAAAACACCCUUUUCAAAUAGCAAAACACCCUUUUCAAAUAGCAAAACAUCCUUUUCAAAUAGCAAAACACCCUUUUCAAAUAGCAAAACUCCCUUUUCAAAUAGCAAAACACUCUUUUCAAAUAGCAAAACACCCUUUUCAAAUAGCAAAACACCCUUUUCAAAUAGCAAAACACCCUUUUCAAAUAGCAAAACACCCUUUUCAAAUAGCAAAACACCCUUUUCAAAUAGCAAAACACCCUUUUCAAAUAGCAAAACUCCCUUUUCAAAUAGCAAAACACCCU
Non-coding RNA from Paramuricea clavata, 328 nucleotides. The record is from the annotation of a GenBank genome assembly. NCBI's taxonomy places the organism in Eukaryota, Metazoa, Cnidaria, Anthozoa, Malacalcyonacea, Plexauridae.